CCUACGGGAGGCAGCAGUGAGGAAUAUUGGUCAAUGGCCGGAAGGCUGAACCAGCCAUGCCGCGUGAAGGUCAGUGCCCUAUGGGCGUUAAACUUCUUUUGUGCGGGAGCAAUAAUGGUCACGUGUGGCCAGACGAGAGUACCGUACGAAUAAGCAUCGGCUAACUCCGUGCCAGCAGCCGCGGUAAUACGGGGGAUGCAAGCGUUAUCCGGAUUUAUUGGGUGUAAAGGGUGCGUAGGCUGUGAGGUAAGUCAGCGGUGAAAUGCCCCCGCUCAACGGGGUGAAGUGCCAUUGAUACUGCCUGGCUGGAAUGCGGAUGACGUGGGAGGAAUGUGUGGUGUAGCGGUGAAAUGCAUAGAUAUCACACAGAACACCGAUUGCGAAGGCAUCUCACGAAUCCGCGAUUGACGCUGAUGCACGAAAGCGUGGGUAUCAAACAGGAUUAGAUACCCCAGUAGUC
This 460-nucleotide ribosomal RNA is filed under the name uncultured bacterium. RNAcentral describes it as "partial 16S ribosomal RNA". It matches the Rfam family "Bacterial small subunit ribosomal RNA", at positions 338 to 795 of the family's 1533-position model. The record is from RNAcentral.